RNAcentral lists this ribosomal RNA (253 nucleotides) under uncultured bacterium. Its description in RNAcentral is "partial 16S ribosomal RNA". It matches the Rfam family "Bacterial small subunit ribosomal RNA", at positions 524 to 776 of the family's 1533-position model. The record is from RNAcentral.
UACGGAGGGGGCUAGCGUUGUUCGGAAUUACUGGGCGUAAAGCGCACGUAGGCGGCUUGGAAAGUUGGGGGUGAAAUCCCGGGGCUCAACCCCGGAACUGCCUUCAAAACUCCCAGUCUGGAGGUCGAGAGAGGUGAGUGGAAUUCCGAGUGUAGAGGUGAAAUUCGUAGAUAUUCGGAGGAACACCAGUGGCGAAGGCGGCUCACUGGCUCGAUACUGACGCUGAGGUGCGAAAGCGUGGGGAGCAAACAGG